CAGGAUAGAGCAUGAAUUAUGCAUUUCACUUACAAUGAAAAUAUAGAUAUUAUCUUACCCUGA
This 63-nucleotide transfer RNA is filed under the name Nereis sp. Its description in RNAcentral is "tRNA-Val". Lineage: Eukaryota; Metazoa; Annelida; Polychaeta; Phyllodocida; Nereididae. The record is from RNAcentral.